CCUACGGGCGGCAGCAGUGGGGAAUAUUGGACAAUGGGGGGAACCCUGAUCCAGCGACGCCGCGUGAGUGAAGAAGUAUUUCGGUAUGUAAAGCUCUAUCAGCAGGGAAGAAAGGAAGGACGGUACCUGACUAAGAAGCCCCGGAUAACUACGGGCCAGCAGCAGCGGUAAUACGUAGGGGGGAAGCGUUAUGCGGAUUUACUGGGUGUAAAGGGAGCGUAGACGGUUACGCAAGUCUGGAGUGAAAGGCGGGGGCCCAACCCCCGUGCUGCUGUGGAAACUGUAUACCUGGAGUGCAGGAGAGGGACGUGGACUUCCUAGUGUAGCGGUGAAAUGCUUAGAUAUUAGGAGGAACCCCAGUGGCUAAGGCGGCUUACUGGACUGUAACUGACGUUGAGGCUCGAAAGCGUGGGGAGCGAACAUUAUUAGAUACCCCAGGAGUC
RNAcentral lists this ribosomal RNA (443 nucleotides) under uncultured bacterium. RNAcentral describes it as "partial 16S ribosomal RNA". It matches the Rfam family "Bacterial small subunit ribosomal RNA", at positions 338 to 795 of the family's 1533-position model. The record is from RNAcentral.